CUACUACUCCCUCCGUCGGGAAAUACUUGUCCUCAAAAUGGUUAUAUCUAGACUUAUUUUAGUUAUAGAUACAUCUAUUUUAUCUAUUUAUAGGACAAAUAUUUCCGGACGGAAGGAGUACCUA
Triticum urartu is the source of this 124-nucleotide non-coding RNA. NCBI's taxonomy places the organism in Eukaryota, Viridiplantae, Streptophyta, Magnoliopsida, Poales, Poaceae. The record is from Rfam.